This 478-nucleotide ribosomal RNA is filed under the name uncultured bacterium. Its description in RNAcentral is "bacterial SSU rRNA". It matches the Rfam family "Bacterial small subunit ribosomal RNA", at positions 942 to 1392 of the family's 1533-position model. The record is from RNAcentral.
GGGAACGCGAAGAACCUUACUGGGAACGCGAAGAACCUUACUGGGAACGCGAAGAACCUUACCUAGACUUGACAUCCCCUGAAUUACCUGUAAUGAGGGAAGUCCCUUCGGGGACAGGGAGACAGGUGGUGCAUGGUUGUCGUCAGCUCGUGUCGUGAGAUGUUGGGUUAAGUCCCGCAACGAGCGCAACCCUUAUCAUUAGUUGCUACCAUUAAGUUGAGCACUCUAAUGAGACUGCCCGGGUUAACCGGGAGGAAGGUGGGGAUGACGUCAAAUCAUCAUGCCCCUUAUGUCUAGGGCCACACACGUGCUACAAUGGCUGGUAACAAAGUGACGCAAACGGCGACGUCGAGCAAAUCACAAAAACCCAGUCCCAGUUCGGAUUGUAGUCUGCAACUCGACUACAUGAAGCUGGAAUCGCUAGUAAUCGCGAAUCAGAAUGUCGCGGUGAAUACGUUCCCGGGUCUUGUACACACCG